Molecule: ribosomal RNA, 301 nt
Filed under: uncultured bacterium
Lineage: Bacteria
Description: partial 16S ribosomal RNA
Rfam family: Bacterial small subunit ribosomal RNA
Source: RNAcentral
CAGUCGCCACGGGAAUACGUAUGUCGCGAGCGUUAUCCGGAAUUAUUGGGCAUAAAGGGCAUCUAGGCGGCCGGAUAAGUCUGGGGUGAAAACUUGCGGCUCAACCGCAAGCCUGCCCUGGAAACUAUGCGGCUAGAGUACUGGAGAGGUGGACGGAACUGCACGAGUAGAGGUGAAAUUCGUAGAUAUGUGCAGGAAUGCCGAUGAUGAAGAUAGUCCACUGGACGGUAACUGACGCUGAAGUGCGAAAGCUAGGGGAGCAAACAGGAUUAGAGACCCCCGUAGUCCCUGUCUCUUAUAA